GACGAACGCUGGCGGCGUGCUUAACACAUGCAAGUCGAACGGAAAGGCCCUGCUUGCAGGGUACUCGAGUGGCGAACGGGUGAGUAACACGUGGGUGAUCUGCCCUGCACUUCGGGAUAAGCCUGGGAAACUGGGUCUAAUACCGGAUAGGAGCCAUUUUUAGUGUGAUGGUUGGAAAGUUUUUUCGGUGUAGGAUGAGCUCGCGGCCUAUCAGCUUGUUGGUGGGGUAAUGGCCUACCAAGGCGGCGACGGGUAGCCGGCCUGAGAGGGUGGACGGCCACAUUGGGACUGAGAUGCGGCCCAGACUCCUACGGGAGGCAGCAGUGGGGAAUCUUGCACAAUGGGCGCAAGCCUGAUGCAGCGACGCCGCGUGGGGGAUGACGGCCUUCGGGUUGUAAACUCCUUUCGCUAGGGACGAAGCUUUUUGUGACGGUACCUAGAUAAGAAGCACCGGCUAACUACGUG
This 465-nucleotide ribosomal RNA is filed under the name uncultured bacterium. Its description in RNAcentral is "partial 16S ribosomal RNA". It matches the Rfam family "Bacterial small subunit ribosomal RNA", at positions 28 to 507 of the family's 1533-position model. The record is from RNAcentral.